RNAcentral lists this ribosomal RNA (233 nucleotides) under uncultured bacterium. Its description in RNAcentral is "partial 16S ribosomal RNA". It matches the Rfam family "Bacterial small subunit ribosomal RNA", at positions 544 to 776 of the family's 1533-position model. The record is from RNAcentral.
UUCGGAAUUAUUGGGCGUAAAGGGCGCGUAGGCGGCCAUGCGUGUCUUCCGUGAAAUCCCUCGGCUUAACCGAGGAUGUGCGGAAGAAACUGCAAGGCUCGAGUCCGGAAGAGGGGGGCGGAAUUCCCAGUGUAGCGGUGAAAUGCGUAGAUAUUGGGAGGAACACCAGUGGCGAAGGCGGUCCCCUGGGCCGGAACUGACGCUGAGGCGCGAAAGCGUGGGUAGCAAACGGG